UAAAGUGGAUUCUAGUACAAUGUGACUGGCUUAUUUUUAAGGAGCUUCAGACACAGAUACAGACAAGGGAAAGGAAAGACUGUGAGAAGAUGCAGUGAACACAGGGCCACCUGCAAGUCAAGGAGAGAGACCUCAGAAGAAACCAGCUCUGUUGACACCUGGAUCUUGGCCUUCUAGCCUCUCGAAAUAUGGAUCUCCAACAAUAUAGAAGUUCGCUAGAGGAUGGGGGGUGCUUCAAGGCUCAAUGAUCCUCUCCUUGCAGUGCAUAGCAACGCUGGUUUCUCCAUCAUGACUACCAUGUUCUGGAAGUGAAAUUGCUAGAGGUCUCCUGUGGUUACUGCGAAGAAUAAUGGUCUCCAAGAUGUCCAUGUCCUGAUCCCCAGAACCUGUGAAGGAUCUAGGAAAGAAUCCUUUCCAUCUCCAAAUGGCCUCCUGUCUUCCUUUACCGUGGCUCCUGCCGCCAUCUUCAAGGCCAGGUGCACCAAUUUCUGCCUCUGUCUCUCGUCUUCCUCUUUCACUUAGUAAGACUCUUGUAAUUGCACUGGAUCUAUGUGAAUAAUCUGCUCAUCUCAAGAUCUUGACCUUUCUCUUAAUCUCAUCUCCAAAGCCCCCUUUUGCCACUGAAAAGGUAAAUAUUCACAUGUUCAGAUUAACCAGUUAGACCUAUAUGUGUGUCUUAGAUAUUUAAAUGAAAAUCUUUAUCUGUUUUAGGUGGGCACAGUGUCACAUGUCAGCAACUUGGAGGGCGAGA
Non-coding RNA from Ictidomys tridecemlineatus (thirteen-lined ground squirrel), 751 nucleotides. Lineage: Eukaryota; Metazoa; Chordata; Mammalia; Rodentia; Sciuridae. The record is from RefSeq and is a predicted model, not a curated record.